GCCGGACGUGGUGGCGCACACCUGUAAUCCCUGCGACUCGGGAGGCUGAGGCCGGAGGAUCACAAGUUUGAGACCAGCUUCAG
Molecule: small RNA, 83 nt
Filed under: Marmota monax (woodchuck)
Lineage: Eukaryota; Metazoa; Chordata; Mammalia; Rodentia; Sciuridae
Source: RNAcentral